AAGUCGUAACAAGGUCCCCGUUGGUGAACCAGCGGAGGGAUCAUUACAGAGUACUUUACUCGAAAACCACUGUGAACUUACCUUCUGUUGCUUCGGCUGGGCUGCCCCUCGCAUCCCCCCCUUGGGGGGUUUCGGGGCGGCGUCCAAGGCCCGCCGAGGGCACCAAAACUCUUGUAUCUUUGUGGAAAUUCUAGAGAAAAUAAUCAAGUAAAUCAAAAC
RNAcentral lists this unclassified non-coding RNA (219 nucleotides) under plant metagenome. RNAcentral describes it as "partial contains small subunit ribosomal RNA and internal transcribed spacer 1". The stretch from base 1 to 46 matches the Rfam family "Eukaryotic small subunit ribosomal RNA", at positions 1786 to 1831 of the family's 1831-position model. The record is from RNAcentral.